This 465-nucleotide ribosomal RNA is filed under the name Vreelandella stevensii. RNAcentral describes it as "partial 16S ribosomal RNA". It matches the Rfam family "Bacterial small subunit ribosomal RNA", at positions 338 to 795 of the family's 1533-position model. The record is from RNAcentral. Lineage: Bacteria; Pseudomonadati; Pseudomonadota; Gammaproteobacteria; Oceanospirillales; Halomonadaceae.
CCUACGGGUGGCAGCAGUGGGGAAUAUUGGACAAUGGGGGGAACCCUGAUCCAGCCAUGCCGCGUGUGUGAAGAAGGCCCUCGGGUUGUAAAGCACUUUCAGUGAGGAAGAACGCCUGGUGGUUAAUACCCAUCAGGAAAGACAUCACUCACAGAAGAAGCACCGGCUAACUCCGUGCCAGCAGCCGCGGUAAUACGGAGGGUGCGAGCGUUAAUCGGAAUUACUGGGCGUAAAGCGCGCGUAGGUGGCUUGAUAAGCCGGUUGUGAAAGCCCCGGGCUCAACCUGGGAACGGCAUCCGGAACUGUCGAGCUAGAGUGUAGGAGAGGAAGGUAGAAUUCCCGGUGUAGCGGUGAAAUGCGUAGAGAUCGGGAGGAAUACCAGUGGCGAAGGCGGCCUUCUGGACUGACACUGACACUGAGGUGCGAAAGCGUGGGUAGCAAACAGGAUUAGAUACCCGUGUAGUC